AUUUACUUACUGCUGAAGUGUUCCUGAGAAACAGACCUACUAUUAGAAUGGGGCCUUCUAAGAGGUGACACACUCCCAGCAAUAAAUUUGAGUAGUUCACUCCAGUAGUAAUUCUUAACACUUACUUUCCUGCCCUCCAGAGAUAUAUGCUGCACAAGGGGACUGAAAUCUUUUGGCUUUGGUACCCUUUGGCUAUUUGAACCAUAGUUCCUACUAUAUGAGUGUUUUAGCAGUAUGCCCUUGUCUAAGCAUUUCAUUUGGUUCUUACUUUGGCACUUAUGAAGCCAAAGAUACUAUGAUACUAUGGUACUUUCUACCGUGUUAUUC
Molecule: long non-coding RNA, 327 nt
Filed under: Pan troglodytes (chimpanzee)
Lineage: Eukaryota; Metazoa; Chordata; Mammalia; Primates; Hominidae
Description: long non-coding RNA NONPTRT005662
Source: RNAcentral